GGCGUCCGAUAGCCGGUCAAGAUUGACUGUUAAUCAAUUGGUCGUAGGUUCGAUCCCUACCGCC
This 64-nucleotide transfer RNA is filed under the name Paracoccus sanguinis. It matches the Rfam family "tRNA". From Rfam's summary of the family: Transfer RNA (tRNA) molecules are approximately 80 nucleotides in length. Lineage: Bacteria; Pseudomonadati; Pseudomonadota; Alphaproteobacteria; Rhodobacterales; Paracoccaceae. The record is from Rfam by way of RNAcentral.